RNAcentral lists this ribosomal RNA (253 nucleotides) under uncultured bacterium. RNAcentral's name for it is "partial 16S ribosomal RNA". It matches the Rfam family "Bacterial small subunit ribosomal RNA", at positions 524 to 776 of the family's 1533-position model. The record is from RNAcentral.
UACGUAGGGACCAAGCGUUGUCCGGAAUCAUUGGGCGUAAAGCGCGCGUAGGCGGCCCGGCAAGUCCGUUGUAAAAGUCGAAGGCUCAACCUUCGAAAGCCGAUGGAUACUGCCGGGCUAGAGUACGGAAGAGGCGAGUAGAAUUCCUGGUGUAGCGGUGGAAUGCGCAGAUAUCAGGAGGAAUACCCAUAGCGAAGGCAGCUCGCUGGGACGUUACUGACGCUGAGGCGCGAAAGCGUGGGGAGCGAACAGG